CGAUGAAACACCUUCGGGUGUGAAUUAGCGGCGAACGGGUGAGGAACACGUGAAGAAUCUGCCUUCAACUCUGGGAUAACUCCGGGAAACCGGGGCUAAUACCGGAUAUGAGCCUCGAUCGCAUGAUUGGGGCUGGAAAGUUUUUCGGUUGAAGAUGACUUCGCGGCCUAUCAGCUUGUUGGUGAGGUAAUGGCUCACCAAGGCGACGACGGGUAGCCGGCCUGAGAGGGCGACCGGCCACACUGGGACUGAGACACGGCCCAGACUCCUACGGGAGGCAGCAGUGGGGAAUAUUGGGCAAUGGAGGAAACUCUGACCCAGCGACGCCGCGUGAGGGAUGAAGGCCUUCGGGUUGUAAACCUCUUUCAGUAGGGAAGAAGCGAAAGUGACGGUACCUACAGAAGAAGCACCGGCUAACUAUGUGCCAGCAGCCGCGGUAAUACAUAGGGUGCAAGCGUUGUCCGGAAUUAUUGGGCGUAAAGAGCUCGUAGGUGGUUCGAUACGUCGGAUGUGAAAAUCAGGGGCCCAACCCCUGACCUGCAUCCGAUACGGUCGAGCUAGAGUUUGGUAGGGGAGACUGGAAUUCCUGGUGUAGCGGUGGAAUGCGCAGAUAUCAGGAGGAACACCGAUGGCGAAGGCAGGUCUCUGGGCCAAUACUGACACUGAGGAGCGAAAGCGUGGGGAGCGAACAGGAUUAGAUACCCUGGUAGUCCACGCCGUAAACGGUGGGCGCUAGUUGUGCGAACCUUCCACGGUUUGUGCGACGCAGCUAACGCAUUAAGCGCCCCGCCUGGGGAGUACGAUCGCAAGAUUAAAACUCCAAGGA
This 826-nucleotide ribosomal RNA is filed under the name uncultured Actinomycetes bacterium. Its description in RNAcentral is "bacterial SSU rRNA". It matches the Rfam family "Bacterial small subunit ribosomal RNA", at positions 67 to 908 of the family's 1533-position model. Lineage: Bacteria; Bacillati; Actinomycetota; Actinomycetes. The record is from RNAcentral.